UGGGGAAUAUUGCACAAUGGGCGCAAGCCUGAUGCAGCCAUGCCGCGUGUAUGAAGAAGGCCUUCGGGUUGUAAAGUACUUUCAGCGAGGAGGAAGGCGUUGUGGUUAAUAACCGCAACGAUUGACGUUACUCGCAGAAGAAGCACCGGCUAACUCCGUGCCAGCAGCCGCGGUAAUACGGAGGGUGCAAGCGUUAAUCGGAAUUACUGGGCGUAAAGCGCACGCAGGCGGUCUGUCAAGUCGGAUGUGAAAUCCCCGGGCUCAACCUGGGAACUGCAUCCGAAACUGGCAGGCUAGAGUCUUGUAGAGGGGGGUAGAAUUCCAGGUGUAGCGGUGAAAUGCGUAGAGAUCUGGAGGAAUACCGGUGGCGAAGGCGG
RNAcentral lists this ribosomal RNA (377 nucleotides) under uncultured bacterium. RNAcentral describes it as "partial 16S ribosomal RNA". It matches the Rfam family "Bacterial small subunit ribosomal RNA", at positions 355 to 724 of the family's 1533-position model. The record is from RNAcentral.